Long non-coding RNA from Oxyura jamaicensis (ruddy duck), 940 nucleotides. RefSeq lists it as uncharacterized. The record is from RefSeq and is a predicted model, not a curated record. Lineage: Eukaryota; Metazoa; Chordata; Aves; Anseriformes; Anatidae. The transcript is spliced from 3 exons.
AGGCACACUUGUAGAUGGCAACUGAUGCUUAUCCUCAUGCCGCUUUUUUUUCCCAUGCCUGAGUCAUUACUCAGAAGAAGCCCAUGAUGGGGUUUCAACAGUCUUAGCAGCCUCAGGUGGACCAGGUCAGUAAUAAAGCUUAUGCUACCGAAUAUUUUCCAAGGACUGAAUUCACCAUUAUACAUAUUUCCCCUUUAUUGCUCUAUGGGGAGCCACAACAAAGCUGCCUCAGGCCUUGAGAGAGCAAGAAGAUCUUUUUGGAGGUGGAUGGGAGCUGGAUCAGGUCUAAUUUGCAAAUUAAAUGAAGUCAGCAGCCAGUCCAGCUGAAAGUCAGCUGAAACCUGUAUGUAACAGGUGAAAGAAAGAAAGAAAAAGAGAAGGAAGAAUGUGUCCACCACACUCAUGGUGAAAUGGAAGAGAGUGAAGAGCUCACCAAGCCAUCUUCAAAAAGCUUGCAGAAGUGCACAUCAAGGUGCAGCACAGAGGGAAAACAAGGGCCUUACACAAGAAGCGUGAUAUAGAUCACUGCGCUCCACUUGGAAGAGGAAGUGUGAAAGGAGGCACCAAGACAGUUAAGGUAAGAGCAAAAAAUAAAAUAUGAACCUGAAUACACAUUCGUAUUCUAAUAAAGCUUCAUUCUUCCCAACCAGAAAAAGUAAUUUAAUCAGCUGCAAUUUUGUUUCCACUUACCUUUUUUUUUCCCUGUAUUGAUUUUGUUUCCUUUCAGUUUUCAUUGUAGAAUAUAAUAAUUUGAAUUAAAUUUGAUUUGUAAAUACCUUCAAAGUUUUCUGACAAAAGCUGGGAUUUGGGGUGGAGGAGGAACAGUGCAGGAAAUUAAUUACAACAAUCUCUGGUAGAAAAAUGUUAAAAUAAAUAAAUAAAUAUGUUAAGUGAGGCAUUUUCUGAUGGAAUACUUUUAAGAUCUAUGAAAGAAAAUACA